CUUCCGGCUGAACUGAUCUUAAGACAGGAA
This 30-nucleotide non-coding RNA is filed under the name Homo sapiens (human). The record is from RNAcentral. Lineage: Eukaryota; Metazoa; Chordata; Mammalia; Primates; Hominidae.